UACGUAGGGUGCAAGCGUUAAUCGGAAUUACUGGGCGUAAAGCGUGCGUAGGCGGUUCUAUAAGACAGAUGUGAAAUCCCCGGGCUCAACCUGGGGACUGCAUUUGUGACUGUAGAGCUGGAGUACGGUAGAGGGGGAUGGAAUUCCGCGUGUAGCAGUGAAAUGCGUAGAUAUGCGGAGGAACACCGAUGGCGAAGGCAAUCCCCUGGACCUGUACUGACGCUGAGGCGCGAAAGCUAGGGGAGCGAACAGG
Molecule: ribosomal RNA, 253 nt
Filed under: uncultured bacterium
Lineage: Bacteria
Description: partial 16S ribosomal RNA
Rfam family: Bacterial small subunit ribosomal RNA
Source: RNAcentral